GAUGAACGCUAGCGAUAGGCCUAACACAUGCAAGUCGAGGGGCAUCACAUGAAGUAGCAAUACGGAUGGUGGCGACCGGCGCACGGGUGAGUAACACGUAUGCAACCUGCCUUCAACAAGGGGAUAACCCGUUGAAAGACGGACUAAUACCCUAUAACACAGGGGUCCCGCAUGGGAAUAUUUGUUAAAGGACAACCGGUUGAAGAUGGGCAUGCGUUCCAUUAGCUAGUUGGCGGGGUAACGGCCCACCAAGGCAACGAUGGAUAGGGGAACUGAGAGGUUUAUCCCCCACACUGGUACUGAGACACGGACCAGACUCCUACGGGAGGCAGCAGUGAGGAAUAUUGGUCAAUGGACGCAAGUCUGAACCAGCCACGUCGCGUGAAGGAGACGGCCCUACGGGUUGUAAACUUCUUUUAUACGGGAAUAAAGUGCCCCACGCGUGGGGUUUUGCAUGUACCGUAUGAAUAAGGAUCGGCUAACUCCGUG
RNAcentral lists this ribosomal RNA (489 nucleotides) under uncultured bacterium. RNAcentral's name for it is "bacterial SSU rRNA". It matches the Rfam family "Bacterial small subunit ribosomal RNA", at positions 28 to 507 of the family's 1533-position model. The record is from RNAcentral.